RNAcentral lists this ribosomal RNA (253 nucleotides) under uncultured bacterium. RNAcentral's name for it is "partial 16S ribosomal RNA". It matches the Rfam family "Bacterial small subunit ribosomal RNA", at positions 524 to 776 of the family's 1533-position model. The record is from RNAcentral.
UACAGAGGGUGCAAACGUUGCUCGGAAUUAUUGGGCGUAAAGGGCGCGUAGGCGGCCUUGUAAGUCCUGUGUGAAAUCCCCCGGCUCAACUGGGGAACUGCACAGGAGACUGCUUGGCUUGAGUUCGGGAGAGGGAAGCGGAAUUCCGGGUGUAGCGGUGAAAUGCGUAGAUAUCCGGAGGAACACCGGUGGCGAAGGCGGCUUCCUGGACCGACACUGACGCUGAGGCGCGAAAGCCAGGGGAGCAAACGGG